Rhineura floridana is the source of this 526-nucleotide long non-coding RNA. RefSeq lists it as uncharacterized. NCBI's taxonomy places the organism in Eukaryota, Metazoa, Chordata, Lepidosauria, Squamata, Rhineuridae. The record is from RefSeq and is a predicted model, not a curated record. The transcript is spliced from 3 exons.
CUGGUUAGAACCAUAAUUCGGGAUGUUCACUUUAAUUGAGCAGAGAGGAUUGCAAAUUGCGUUGCAGGCGCUCAAAUGUUACAACAGCAGUAAAAGCAAAGAAGAAAUGAAAUUAAUGCUUGCUUAUCUGCUUUAGCUAAGUACUCAAGGUCUCUUUCCGUGCUGAAGAUAGAAGCUGCAACCCACUCCUCAGUGCCGUGCCAGGAGACCCAUCAAGAUAGAAGCACUGCAGCCAAGGGAGAACUUUCCUGUUGGUCGCGUCUUCGUGGGGCCUGUUUGUGCCACCUCUUGCUGUUUGCUACGCUGGAUGCUGGAUGCUGAGAGUGAGAGGAGAUGUCGCUUUUGGUUUCGCAAAUGACGCACCUUGUGGACUAUACAGGCCAGAAGCUUUGUUGAACUUUGUUGUGGUGACCUUUACCUGUUGUUUUAGUUUUAUUGCUGUUUUGAUGUUGUGAUACUUAUAUAUUAUGACUUUGUACAUCGCUCAGAGUGGCUCGGUUUCCAGCCAGAUGGGCGAUAAAUAAAU